RNAcentral lists this ribosomal RNA (564 nucleotides) under Triticum aestivum (bread wheat). RNAcentral describes it as "partial small subunit ribosomal RNA". Lineage: Eukaryota; Viridiplantae; Streptophyta; Magnoliopsida; Poales; Poaceae. The record is from RNAcentral.
AUGUUCCUUGUUUUCUGCCAGCCUUACGAAGAUGAAGAAUCCAGCCAACCACCGGAGAGCAUCAGCACCUUAUUAUCUUCUAGAGGAAUGACCGACCAAGUAACGCAACUUAAAGCUCUGAAGGGCAUAUUGAUUGAUGCAACUGCAGAACCAAUUAUGCUAUCAUAUCCAUUUCUAAGCUCCAUCACAGGAAAUUUCUCUCGAGAAAUCGGCCGUGGUGGUUUCGGAAUUGUUUACCAGGGAGACCUUGGGACUAGGAAGGUUGCUGUGAAGAAACUUUCCAUCAUACCAGAGAGGUUCUCGGACACACUCUUUGUGGAAGAGAUUAAGUGUUUAAUAAAAGCAAAGCACAAUAAUGUGGUCAGAUUUCUAGGUUAUUGUGCAGAUACACAGGGGGAAUUGAUAUUAUUCAACGGAAUGCAUGUGUUGUCAGAGCUACCACAACGGCUGUUAUGCUUCGAGUAUUUUCCUAAUGGAAAUCUUGGGAAGUAUCUUGAAGAUAAAUCUCAUAAAGAUGAAUGGAAAAUUCGCCAUCAAAUGAUUAGGGAAUUUGUCAUGGUUUGA